GCCACGGAAUGACCCCCAGAGAGGGCCAGGAAUGUCACCACGGCCCGGCGCUCCCGGUUCCACCUGGGCGGGCGCGGCGCACCUGGAGAAAUCCAUCACGAUUCCGGGUGGAAGGAAUGCAGGGCCGGGGGGUUAAUCUUUAACCAGACCCCCCUGGAAGCCUCGGAAAAUUCCCAGGAGCCGCUCCCGGGUUGUUUGGGAGCCACCUCGGGAAGGAUCUGUCGGGAAGGAGCCGGAAUUCCGCGGCUCCAUCCGGAAUUGGCCGCUCCAAGGAUAUCUGAUUUUUCCCGGAUUUUUGGAGUCCUUGGAAAAGCCCCCUUGGAAGGAGAGAGGUUUUCCCACAGGACAUUCCAAGCGGGAUGGGAUUCACCGGGAUCAGCCAAAGAUCUUGGAAGAACCACCCGAGCAUGGAGAACCAACCAUCCCCUCCCCAACCCAACCCAAGCCAAGCCACUCCAGAAAGCCACAAAAAUGCAAAUCAUCAAAGAUGUGGAGACAGAAAUGUCCCCUUUCUGUCCUGCCUUGGAAGUGGAACCGGGAGCUGCUGGAUUGACAGAGCUCCAGAAGUUCCAUGGAGGCACCAGGAAGGACCAGGCCACUUUUGGGCCACCGGUGGCCACCGGACUGGGCCAAACCAGGCCCCCCAGAGGUCUCCAAAAGCGUCGAUAAAGUGAUUUUAAAGGGAUCAAAGCUGGAGCUGCCCUCUGAGACUUGCCCAAAUCUGGAGCAAGCUCACCGGGACAAAACCGGAGCUGAGGGAAGAGCUCAGGAUCAAUCCCAGGAGGAAAUCAAAGGCUCUGGAUCCUCCUUUUCCCCUGGAUCCCAUUCCCAGAGUGCGCAGGAACUCGACCAGCCUGAGCCUGAUAAAAUCCUGGGUUUAAAACCUCGGUUUAAGGGCGGCUCCUCAAUUUCCCGUCUCCGACAGAUUCCGGUUCCAACCCCGAGAAAAUCCCGGGUUUAAAACCUCGGUUUAAGGGCGGCUCCUCAAUUUCCCAGCUCCAACAGAUUCCGGUUCCAACCUCCUGCUCCAGCCUGGAGCGGCUUCACCGGGAUGAAACCGGAGCCAAGGGAAGAGUUCAGGAUGAAUUCCAGAGAGGAAUCAAAGGCCAUGGAUCCUCAUUUUGCCCUGGGUCCCUUUCCCAGUGUGAGCAUGACCACCCUGGCCCCGCUUAAAACCCCACAUUUAACUCGCGGUUUAAGGACGGCUCCGUUUCCCGGCUCCGACAGAUUCCAGUUCCAAUCUGGGAUAAAACCAGAGCCAAGGGAAGAUCUGGGGAGGAACCAGGGGCUCUGGACCUUCGCCUUCCCCUGGAUCCCAUCCCCAGAGCGAGCAGGAACACGACCACCCUGACCCCUGGAAAACCCCACAUUUAAAGGAUGAUUUAAGGACGGCUCCUCCAUUUCCCAGCUUCCCAACUCUCCUGGAAACCAAACCCGGUUUCCCUGCUUUAAUCACCGCGCCUCGCUUUGUCUCCGAGCCCUUUCUUUGCCUUUCUCUCCCUUUCUCCUCCAUUUAUUUCUUCUCUUUUUGUUGGUUUUUUUUUUUUUUUUUUUGUGCUAAACCUGUAAAAGGCGCCGGGCUCGGAGUUCAUUUGGCCGCGGAGCUGAUAAGCCAUGAAAAACACGGAGUCGGCGAUGGAAGCGCUGACAGCGCCGGCUCUGCCGCGGGCCCAGCUGCAAUUUGCCUUCCAGGGCUGUCUCCGAAAACAAAAACGCUCCACACGCAGCAUGCAAAGAAGUUCCGAGUGCGUUGGGGGGCUCGGGGAAAGAGGAGAAGGGGGUGGAAAAAGCCACAUGGAAGACGAGAAGGGCGGGCGGCGCUGGGAGCGGGGAGAGAGCUGCAGAUCAAUCAUUUAUAAUUAACAAAAAUCCGAUUGGGGCUUUAAAUAGAGAUCAAUGUGCGGCGGGGCUGAGUGGAUUGCGAGGAUGUAUUCACCUUCUCGUAACUCUCCUCGCGAGCUGUCACACCUCCCGAACCCCCAUUUGUUUUGUUAACAAAGCUUCAGGGGGCGCCGGGCUCUCAUUGAAAUUUCAUUAAUCUAAUGGAGUAAAGUCCUGGAGAGGGGAAAAAAAAAAAGAAAAAAAUCAAAUUCUCGUUGGGCGAGAUGGUACCUGGGAAAGAUAACCUCUGGUUGAACUCCCCGCCUCGGCGGGCUCUGCCAUCAGUCUGGGAGCAGACAGCAGCGGGAUGAUUGCAGCCACCGGCCGCAGAUCCUUCUUCUGCUGCUGCUGCUGCUGCUGCUUCUGCUGCUGCUUCCCCCCCGCACCCCCAGGCCGAGCGCCGGCGCCGCCGGCCACGCGCUGCCACCGCAGCGGGGUCACGGCGGGGACUGGGACAGGGUCAGGUGUGAAAUCACUGCAG
Molecule: long non-coding RNA, 2362 nt
Organism: Motacilla alba alba
Lineage: Eukaryota; Metazoa; Chordata; Aves; Passeriformes; Motacillidae
Exons: 3
Source: RefSeq, a predicted model, not a curated record